AAAGAAACUAACAAGGAUUCCCUUAGUAACUGCGAGUGAAGAGGGAAGAGCUCAAAUUUAAAAUCUGGCAGUGUUUUGCUGUCCGAGUUGUAAUCUAGAGAAGUGCUGCCCGUGCUGGACCAUGUACAAGUCUCCUGGAAUGGAGCGUCACAGAGGGUGAGAAUCCCGUCUUUGACAUGGACUACCAGUGCAUUUGUGGUGUGCUCUCAAAGAGUCGAGUUGUUUGGGAAUGCAGCUCUAAAUGGGUGGUAAACUCCAUCUAAAGCUAAAUAUUGGCGAGAGACCGAUAGCGAACAAGUACCGUGAGGGAAAGAUGAAAAGAACUUUGGAAAGAGAGUUAAACAGUAUGUGAAAUUGUUGAAAGGGAAACGCUUAAAGUCAGUCGUGUCGGCCAGGGAUCAACUCAGCUUUCUCUGCUGGGUGUACUUCCUGAUCUGAUGGGCCAACAUCAGUUUUGACUGCUGGAGAAGGGCAGAGGGAAUGUGGCACCUUCGGGUGUGUUAUAGCUCUCUGUCAGAUGCAGUGGCUGGGACUGAGGAAAGCAGCAUGCCGCAAGGCCGGAUCGUUUCGACCACGUUCAUUGCUGAGGAUGUUGGCAUAAUGGCUUUAAUCGACCCGUCUUGA
Molecule: ribosomal RNA, 624 nt
Filed under: Amanita muscaria (fly agaric)
Lineage: Eukaryota; Fungi; Basidiomycota; Agaricomycetes; Agaricales; Amanitaceae
Description: LSU rRNA
Rfam family: Eukaryotic large subunit ribosomal RNA
Source: RNAcentral